RNAcentral lists this long non-coding RNA (1929 nucleotides) under Homo sapiens (human). Its description in RNAcentral is "non-protein coding LEF1-AS1:16". The record is from RNAcentral. Lineage: Eukaryota; Metazoa; Chordata; Mammalia; Primates; Hominidae.
AACACUUCCUUCUACAUCGGGCGCCGUCGCCUCAACUGCGCGUGGGGGGCGAGGCGCCCACCCCGCACAAGAACAGAGGAGCGGGGGAGAAGAGACGGCCUCGCUGCUCACUGGGUAAGCGGAGCCCAGCCCCGCUCGGGAGCGGGCAGGAGAGACAGGGUAGUGACCCCCACUCACACCAGAAAACCCCUCCCCCCGGCGAUUUUGCUGCCAACUCGAGUCGGCUACAGACAGUCCAGUGAGUCCUUAAUUACAAGGACGAGAGAAAAGCACGGUGCCCCUCGAGUCCUCUCCGCCCCCUCGGUCCUAACCCCCGCCCAGGCUCCAGGUCUUCCCCUUUGUGUGGCCUGGACUCUCUCCCAGCUACGACUUUGGUGGGAUCCAAAAGGAAGGAGGUGGCGGGGCCUACGGAAGAGGAUACCCAGGAGCCAGGGAGAAGGGCUAGAAAACGAAUAAUGUGACUCCAGAGGCGGAACCCCGACCCCCUCUAUUUCCCACCCCGGCUUCACCCGGAGACGAAAGCUGUGGGCAUCUUCAGUUUAACGGACUUCGCGGAAAAGGAGAGAAGGGGGGCGAGGGAAAUGGCAGUUUGUGUCCCAGGGGUUCUUCCCCUUCUUCUUGCCGCCUCCUAAAGACAAACAAACUCAACCCCCCACCCUCCGGGGUAUCAGGGAACUCGUGGGACCGUGAAAAAGUCGUUCCCAAAUCCGGCCGCCUGCGGACGUCGGACUUCCGCGGGGCCGGCGCCCGUUGGCGUCUGUAGCUCGGCGCAGCCACGCGGGGCUCCAGCGAGCGGGGUCCGCCACCCCUCGCGCCCUCCUGCGGCUUUCCCAGCGCUGGGCCAGUGCAGGCCGAGCCCUGCGUCCCUGCCUCGCUGGGUGGGGGUCCGGGGCGCGGCUGUCCACAGGGCCGCCUCCUCCUGCGGCCCGCGGGGAAGGGGCGCAUCCCACCCCGCUCUGCAGGCCGCCCUUCUGCCAGCUGGGAGGCGAGGGCACACGUCCUAAGGCUGCCCAAGGGGGAGAGGAAUCGCGCCGGUAGGAGAGCGCACGGGAACCAGGAACGCAAGGCGGGCACAGGGGAGCCGAAGGAGCCAGACAGGGCCCGGCCACGCGCCCUCCUCGCUCGGCUGCGCUCCGUGACGGGAACCCAGGCUCCCACGCACGGGGAAUGCCUAGAACGGAGCUAGAAUGGAGGCCCCUUUGUGUGACUAAAUUUGGCAAGAAUAUGGAUCUGAGCCAGUCUUUCCACGUGUGCUCCCAGCUCCCAGCUGAGAAGGCCAAGGGUUCUCUUCCGGAUGCAGCCUUUUUGAAAUUUAUUCUUGGCCAAAAGAGGAAGAUAGUUCAAGGAUUCUAUCUUGCUUUUGGGGGGCAAUGGAGAAACCCUGAAAACACUUAAGGAAAACCUGAGGCCUUCUAUAAGAAAAUAAACUCCCUGAAAGGGGAGGCAGGGCCAAGGAAUUUACUUAUUUUUAUAAAUCUCUUUCCUGGGUGGAUAUGGUAAUGGAUGUGUUUCUUGAAUUGUGGUAAAUGUACCUCAUAAAAUGGAUGGACUGGGGCUAUAUUCUCAGGCUUCCUGGGCUCUGUUGGCAUUGGGCAAGCACGUAAUGCCUGGUUUGAGGCUAGAAGCCAAAGCCACAACCUUCUUGCAGUACCAACUGAGCCAUAGGGAGAUUAAUGCAGAACAAGGUCGUUAGUCUCAUUGUUUAUCCAGUUACUAGCCGCAUAGAUUUUGUGUAAAUUUCAGCUACAGUGGUUGCAGCCUGCCUUUGAUGUGUGUAAUCUGUACAUUUUAGUGCUCCAGGAAAGUACCUGAUUGACAAGAUCUACAUCCAAUGCCCAGAAAACACAUCCUACACAGGCACAGUGAAGCGUGGAGUUGAAGAAUUUUCCAGUGAGUUCCAUCAAAGUAAAUAAACCAACCUAGAGCAUC